UAGGGAAUAUUGGUCAAUGGACGCAAGUCUGAACCAGCCACGCCGCGUGCAGGAUGACUGCCCUAUGGGUUGUAAACUGCUUUUAUACGGGAAGAAUAAGCCAUACGUGUAUGGUGAUGACGGUACCGUAAGAAUAAGGAUCGGCUAACUCCGUGCCAGCAGCCGCGGUAAUACGGAGGAUCCAAGCGUUGUCCGGAUUUAUUGGGUUUAAAGGGUGCGUAGGUGGCUUUUUAAGUCAGUGGUGAAAGUUUGCGGCUUAACCGUAAAAGUGCCAUUGAAACUGGAAGGCUUGAGUAUGGUUGAGGUGGCUGGAAUGUUGCAUGUAGCGGUGAAAUGCUUAGAUAUGCAACAGAACACCCAUUGCGAAGGCAGGUCACUAAACCAUAACUGACACUGAGGCACGAAAGCGUGGGGAUCAAACAGGAUUAGAUACCCCCGUAGUCC
This 444-nucleotide ribosomal RNA is filed under the name uncultured bacterium. RNAcentral's name for it is "bacterial SSU rRNA". It matches the Rfam family "Bacterial small subunit ribosomal RNA", at positions 355 to 796 of the family's 1533-position model. The record is from RNAcentral.